UUAGUGGAAAGGUUGGCACAUAGCUUAUCUUUGUAUGUUUGUGUUUGUACCUUAUAUGUAUUAAAUGGUUUGGUUUAGCUCCUGUUAAUAUCUCAACUCCUAUUUCACAAAGUUUGUUUUGGAGUUUUGGUGCUGUAUCUGUCUAGGCUCAUGAGGAAGGGUUCACGGACAAAGAUUGAGUCAAAUCCUGACUGGAAAUCAUUUUAAUCUGGACAUAGCAAAAUACCCAUAAUAUUUAAAAUAGACAGGUAGGCUGCUUUUUUUCACAGGUCUGUUGUCUUUUGCAUGACUAAUGCCACCCUUAAAGGUAAUUUCACAUAGACUGUCUUAAAUAAUUCCUGGGUGAACUCUUUCCUGGGUUGAUUCAAUCUAUAAAACAGUAACAGUAAAUGUAUUAAAUCUCUCUCUCGCGCAUGCGUGCACUGUGCACUGUCUCUGUCUCUGUCUCACUCACUCACUCACUCACUCACUCACUCACUCACUCUCUGUCUCGCACUCUAGAAUCCUAAAUUUCAGGAGCCUGUAACGCUGGACUUCCUGGACGCUGAGCUGGAGGAUGAGAUUAAAGUAGAGAUAAGAACGAACAUGAUUCAUGGAGAAACCGGCCACCGCACCGUACACACACUAGUGAAGUCCCAGGAUGAGCGGUACAUAGACCGAAGCGAAAGAUCGUACACAUAUGCCCCUGUAAAGGGUACAGAUUACAGGUAACAGCUACAUGUACUGUAUUUGUACCCCUA
Molecule: long non-coding RNA, 740 nt
Organism: Oncorhynchus masou masou (cherry salmon)
Lineage: Eukaryota; Metazoa; Chordata; Actinopteri; Salmoniformes; Salmonidae
Exons: 3
Source: RefSeq, a predicted model, not a curated record